UCCUCUACUCAGGGUUUCCUUGUUCCAAUUCUGUUCUCUUUGUUCAUCUCACUCAAACCCAACGACCUUCAAACCACCCAGAAACAUUCACCUCACUCGAUUCUACAAAUUACCCACUCACCUUCGUUCUUCUUCAAUCUCACUUCACCUAGAAACCCUCAACCUUCUUUAAACCUUCGUCACUCUCACUCCAUCCAGAACCCUUCUUCUUCGACCUUCUUCUCACCCAGAAACUCACUGAAACCCUAAACCCCGUAGAAUGUCAAUUGAUUGAACCCAGAUUCCCAUUGAAACCCUUAAAUAAAAAUCAAUUGAACCUUGAGAACUCGCUGAAACCCUAAAACCAUAUUUCCCAAUCGUUCAUCAUUGUCCAUCGUUUCAGAAGUCGUUUACCCAGAAACUCUUCAUCGUUCCGCCAUCGUUCAUCGCAGUUGAACCUCCAUCUUAUCAUGAGAGGAGUUGUUUCUAGAUGUGGUGCUGUUGUGUUGGUGUUUCUGAAUUUUUUCUUUGAGAUUGUCUUCUUUUUUGGUUUGGGAGUGUAGGUGUAAUUUUGGAGUGUGUUUUAGCUUGAUAUAAGAUUAUUUGCCUUAGUGCCUCUACAAACAAACAGUCUAACAUACAAAAGUAGGCAGAGGAAAAAGCUGCUUUGAUCAUGGAAGAAUUACACUCUGAUGACACUGGAUUUAUCAUGGAGCUUGUUAUAAAACCUGAAAUAAAUUUGAUUAGUGGUGAUUACGGCGUUGGGAAGAGUACUCUAUUGUUGCAGGUAUGGUGUUAGGUAGAUUACGUGCUUAAAUUUAAUAUCACUAUUUUGUGUCCUUUUCUUGUAUUACCCAAAAAUUGGGAAGUAUGUCUUAGGAAUGGACAAGACCUUCUUUAAAAAAUUUCUGAAAUCUUACUUAAAUACAAGUGAUAGCAGCAUUGGAGCAUGUUUUGUUUCAAACUUCAGAAGAGGUAUGAGAUAGUAUUGCUUUUAUAUUGCAUCAUUAUAUGUGAUAUUACAUUCUUGUAAUUCAUUUGCUAAUUUGAAAUUCUCAUUUUGUUUGCCAUAUACAUUAACUUAUCAAAUAAACAAAAAGUUGAGUAUCCGGAGAGAGUGUUUUCUGAAUCUUCUUUUCAAAUUUGAGCUUCGAUGUAUUUAAUAAAAAUGCUCUGCCUGUUAUUGUAAAUGAUGGCUUUGACUGCGAUAAAAAAAUUGAUACACCAAUUUAAAAAUCUUGCUUUAAUUUGAUGACAUAACUUCAAUAUGUAUUCAUUAGGGGUAGAUCAGUCCAUUUGUGUUACUGGUGAUGACAGCUGAGCAUAGCAUAUAAGGGAAAUGAAGAGGAUCAGAGAUACAUAUAAAAGAUUUGAAGAGCUUGUGUUUGGGUUCGAAGAGUUUUUCUUUAAAGGACUGAAUAUCUAUUUAUGGAUAGCAAAUUUAUAUGUAUCUGACUCUCAAUUGUCUAUCCCUCCUGAUUGAAUCUGAGAGGCUUUGCUGCUCUCUUGCGGUCUGACUUUGGCCCACUCUUUUUUUGAUUCCGCUCAAUUGCGCGAUCUUUGUAAGGUAGUUUGAAUUUUAUAGGCCUUCCUUUUUCGAUGAAGUGGAUCGUUCUCAUCAAGUGACAGAAAAAAGAGUUUUGCAGCUGUUGUUAGAUGUCAAAUUUGUCAUUGAUAUUAUCAGAAGAAAGCAGGGCCAAAGUUUGACGAUCUCAUUUGUAGUGGUGUUUGUGUUUGUACUAUUCAAUUCUGAUUUGUCUUGUAGCUCGGAUAGGUUUUGUUUAUGAAAUGAAUGUAUUACGAGUUGUUGUUUUAUUAGAGCUAGUGUAUAUUGGAACAACACUGUUUCUUAGAAAAUUAAUAAUAUUGUAUAUUUUGGAAGUCUA
Molecule: long non-coding RNA, 1865 nt
Organism: Trifolium pratense (red clover)
Lineage: Eukaryota; Viridiplantae; Streptophyta; Magnoliopsida; Fabales; Fabaceae
Exons: 6
Source: RefSeq, a predicted model, not a curated record